GGUCUUUUGAAAAUGAUUUAAGAUUUGACCUGCCCACUGAAGAUUUAAAUGGCCGCGGUAAUUUGACCGUGCUAAGGUAGCAUAAUCAUUAGUUUUUUAAUUGAAAGCUGGAAUGAAUGGUUGGAUAAGAAAAAAACUGUCUCUAAUUAAAUUAUAUGAAUUUAAUUUUUAAGUUAAAAAGCUUAAAUAAAAUUAAAAGACGAGAAGACCCUAUAGAGUUUAAUAAUUUUGAAAUUUUGAUAUUUAGGUAUUUUAAAAUUUAAGUUUUAGAAUUAUUUGAUUGGGGUGAUUGAAAAAUUUAAUAAACUUUUUUUUAUUAUUACAUUAAUUAGUGAAAAUUUUGAUCCAUUAUUUAUGAUUAUAAGAUUAAAUUACCUUAGGGAUAACAGCGUAAUUUUUUUAGAGAGUUCAAAUCGAUAAAGAAGUUUGCGACCUCGAUGUUGGAUUAAAAUUUAUAUUUGGUGUAGAAGCUAAAAUAUUUGGUCUGUUCGACCAUUAAAAUUU
Molecule: ribosomal RNA, 504 nt
Filed under: Ropica subnotata
Lineage: Eukaryota; Metazoa; Arthropoda; Insecta; Coleoptera; Cerambycidae
Description: partial 16S ribosomal RNA
Rfam family: Bacterial large subunit ribosomal RNA
Source: RNAcentral